AUUGAACGCUGGCGGCAGGCCUAACACAUGCAAGUCGAGCGGAGCGGCGGACGGGUGAGUAAUGCCUAGGAAUCUGCCUGGUAGUGGGGGAUAACGUCCGGAAACGGGCGCUAAUACCGCAUACUAUCAGAUGAGACUAGGUCGGAUUAGCUAGUUGGUGGGGUAAAGGCCUACCAAGGCGACGAUCCGUAGCUGGUCUGAGAGGAUGAUCAGUAACAUUGGAACGGGGAAACGGUCCAGACUCCAACGGUAGGCAGCAUUGGGGAAUAUUGGACAAGGGGCGAAAGCCUGAUCCAGCCAUGCCGGGUGUGUGAAGAAGGUCUUCGGAUUGUAAAGCACUUUAAGUUGGGAGGCGUUACCAACAUAAUAAGCACCGGCUAACUUCGUGCCAGCAGCCGCGGUAAUUC
Molecule: ribosomal RNA, 407 nt
Filed under: uncultured bacterium
Lineage: Bacteria
Description: partial 16S ribosomal RNA
Rfam family: Bacterial small subunit ribosomal RNA
Source: RNAcentral